UGCAAUGUGACUUUGCCAUUCUUCCCAUCUAAGGUGGAGUCUGUUUCCCCACGUUUGAUUCAUGGUUGCCAUUGUGACCUGCUUUGAAUAUAGAAGGCCGCAGAACUGAUGCUUUGGGACAUCUGAGUGGAGUCCUCGCUAGGUCUCGCAGCAGCUGCGCUCAUCACCUGAAUGCCACUGCCACCACACGCAGAAGCCUGGGCUGGCCUCCUUGAGGCCUGACUUGAGCUGCUGGAUGAUGGCAGCUGCAUGAGUGAUCCCAGAGGAGACCAGCAGAGGACCUGCCUAGCUGAGCACAGGUCAAAUUACUGACCCACAGAGCAAAUAAAAUGGUCGUUAUUUCAAGUCAUUAAAUUUUGGGGGUGGUGGUUAGACUGCAGUAGAUAACUGAGACACCAAGUUAUUUGUGUCGUUUUCUGUCAUUUUCUUUUAGGUAUACUGCUCAUGAAUAGCACAUAGCAGGAGUUUAAAAAUAUAGAAUCCGAGAGCCUCCAUUACUUAACAGGUGGAUUCAACUCUUUCAUAUUUGUGUGAUUAUUGAUUUGGUGUUUAACAUUUCGAAAAACUGCUCGACUGUUUCCCAAAGUGGCUGCACCAUUUUACAUUCCCAUGAACAGCGUGUGAGGGUUCUGCUUUCUCCGCAGCCUCACCAGCAUUUGCUCUUGUCUCCCUUUUUGGGCCCCAGCACUCUUAGACUCUCAAUCCCAUACUCCCUUCUCCGGGAACUCAGUGGAAACUGUUGAGAAACUGUCGCCAUUUGGACCUGCCGCUACUGACCACUGCUUCCCUUCGCCAGUGCCCCCUUCAAGUAAUCAGCGAAGAAACAAUUUCUGCCCGGGAUCCGAGUGCGGUGUGAGGUCUGAGGAGCCUAACUAAUUGCAACAACAGCAAUAACACCCUCUCUGGUUACCACUUACUGAAUGAUUCUGUGGCCCACUCUGCUAAUCGCCACACGCUUUCUUAUUUAAUCUCCAUUUACAGAUUAGCAAACAGAAACUAAAGCUCAGAGUAUUAACUGGCGCCCCCAAGGGUCUAGAGCUGGUAAGUAGUGGCACCAGAAUAUCAAUACCUUGUGCACGACUGGCAUCAAGGCCUGUGCUUUUCCCACUAAGUUUUUCUUCUUAAAGAAUUCUGCCCCCGUUGAGUCCAGUGGGGUUGCAGUGUAUGGCGGUGUUAGGGGCUAGGGACUGGUCCUAAAGUUAGUAAGGCAAAAGUUGCAUAUAGUUCAAGUCAAAUUAGAAAAUUCUUUAUUUCACUUAUAAAGCAACAAUUCUUAGACAUGAAAGCUUGGGAACCGCUGAGCUAGAACUUGAACAGGUAUUUGUACACCCACGUUCACAGCAGCACUAUUCAUAAGAGCCAAAAGACAUAAGCAACCUAAGUGUCCACUGACUGAUGAAUGAACAAAAUGUGGUAUGUACAUACAAUGGAAUAUCAUUCAACCUUAAAAAGGAACGAGAUUUUGACACAUGCUAUAACACGGAUAAACCUUGAAAACUUUAUGCUAACUUAAAUAAGCCAGACACAAGAGGACAAAUAUUGUAUGAGUCCACUUAUAUGAGGCAGCUAGAAUAGUCAAAUCUGUAGAGACAGAAAGUAGAAUAGUGGUUAUCUGGGUCUGGGGGAGGGGGUUGGGAGUUAGUGUUUAAUGGGUACAGAUUUUCAGUUUGGGGUGAUGAAAAAGUUCUAGAGAUGGGUAGCAGUGAUGGUUGCACAAUAAUGUAAAUGUACCUAAUGCCACUGAAUUGUACACUUAAAAUGGUUAAAGUAGUAAAUUUUAUUUUAUGUAUAUUUUACCACAAUAAAAAACACUUUAAAAAAACUAUACACCAACCUACCUUAUGACCAGCAAUUCCACUCCUGUAUUUACUGUAAAUAAAAACAAAAACACGUGCAAGAAUGCUCUUAGCAGCUUUAUUUAUAAUAGCUCCAAACAAGAAAUAAUCCAAGAUGUCCAUUAAUAGGAGAAUGAUUAAAUCAACUGUGGUGUGUCCAUGCAAAGGAAUAUUAUUGAAGCCACUCAGUCAGUUGUUGGCUGAACAGAGACAUGAUCGAAGGUGACCUGUCUUACUCACACUAAAAUUUUGACCCAAAGAACGCCCUGACUGUCACUGAAACCCGAGUUCCAUGGCUGCCUCUGUUAAGACUCUUCCUUCCUCCUCUUAAAGGGAGACCCCAUCAUUUUCCGUGCUUCGUCUCUAAGACCUGCCAUCCUGUACCUGGUCCAGCAGGUUCAGGUUCAACACUUGCCUUAAGAGACACAGGAACUACCCCACCUUCUCAGCGGGAGGGCUUCGGGCAUUCAGGUGCCCACCACACCUGGGUGCCGGUUUUCACCUCUCCCUCCUGGUCCUAGUUCUGUCCGGUCUUUCCCAGGUUUCAAGUUAAGGCCCUUUGGCCACCAUCAUGCAAGUGAGCCUGACUAGUGCCUCUCUUGAGGGUAACCCAUGAGAGGCACAGUCUAAAUGCCAGGCAUUCUCCAGGGUCUCCUUCUCCAGUGGCAAAUUGAGCACUCGACUCUGUAUAGAGUGGCGGGCAUGGAGAACUCCCAGCUCUACCGCUUACUUAGGUAACCUCAG
Molecule: long non-coding RNA, 2579 nt
Organism: Equus asinus (donkey)
Lineage: Eukaryota; Metazoa; Chordata; Mammalia; Perissodactyla; Equidae
Source: Ensembl